This 342-nucleotide RNase P RNA is filed under the name Candidatus Ruthenibacterium merdipullorum. RNAcentral describes it as "RNase P RNA component class A". It matches the Rfam family "Bacterial RNase P class A". From Rfam's summary of the family: Ribonuclease P (RNase P) is a ubiquitous endoribonuclease, found in archaea, bacteria and eukarya as well as chloroplasts and mitochondria. The record is from RNAcentral. Lineage: Bacteria; Bacillati; Bacillota; Clostridia; Eubacteriales; Oscillospiraceae.
CGAGCAAGACAGACGGCGGCGGAGGGCCCCAAAAGCCCUCUGAGGAAAGUCCGGGCUCCUCAAGGGAACGGUAACUGCUAACGGCAGCCGGGGGUGACCCCAGAGAUAGUGCAACAGAAAGAAACCGCCUGCACCUGCAGGCAAGGGUGGAAAGGUGCGGUAAGAGCGCACCAGCGCGCUUGGUAACUUGCGCGGCUCUGUAAACCUUACCGGGAGCAACGCCCGACCGGGGCAAUGCGUGCCCUUGCGCGCCCCACCGAGGCGGCUUGAGCUGUGCGGUGACGCCCAGCCUAGAAAGAUCGUCGUUUUAUACAGAACCCGGCUUAUGGAUUGCCUCGCUUC